Molecule: non-coding RNA, 230 nt
Organism: Paenibacillus riograndensis SBR5
Lineage: Bacteria; Bacillati; Bacillota; Bacilli; Caryophanales; Paenibacillaceae
Source: Rfam
UGAACCCCGCUUGGUAAGAUGGAAGCCACAUCACCAAUACCGAGUCUUGGGCUGUCUGCAGUAACGCAGAGUGCUAAGCGUAGACAGGAAGGUAGUAGGCCUGAAAGUGAUAGAGCUCCGAAAAGGAGUACGUUGGGAAGGCCGACGGUUUACGGCUACUGGAAGGCAACAUGUGAUCACGCGGAAAAAAAAUGGCGAGUGUGACCACGCUUCCCCGGAGUCAGAGAGCC